AUACUUACAUGGGCAGGGUCAAUCGAUGAUCAGGAAGGUCGAUUGCCUAUGAAGGACACCUCCAUUUCACUUGGGAGGGGGGUCUACCUAGCAUCUCCCACAGAGGAGAGUGCACGCCAUAAUUUGUGGCAACAGAAGCUCGGGUUCGCGUAGACUCCAA
This is a non-coding RNA of Picea glauca (white spruce), 160 nucleotides long. Lineage: Eukaryota; Viridiplantae; Streptophyta; Pinopsida; Pinales; Pinaceae. The record is from Rfam.